UCCGUAGGUGGAUAAUUAAGUCAGAGGUGAAAGUUUGCAGCUCAACUGUAAAAUUGCCUUUGAUACUGGUUAUCUUGAAUUAUUGUGAAGUGGUUAGAAUAUGUAGUGUAGCGGUGAAAUGCAUAGAUAUUACAUAGAAUACCAAUUGCGAAGGCAGAUCACUAACAAUAUAUUGACACUGAUGGACGAAAGCGUGGGGAGCGAACAGGAUUAGAGACCCUGGUAGUCC
This 229-nucleotide ribosomal RNA is filed under the name uncultured bacterium. RNAcentral describes it as "partial 16S ribosomal RNA". It matches the Rfam family "Bacterial small subunit ribosomal RNA", at positions 568 to 796 of the family's 1533-position model. The record is from RNAcentral.